Molecule: ribosomal RNA, 415 nt
Filed under: Poecilobracon sp.
Lineage: Eukaryota; Metazoa; Arthropoda; Insecta; Hymenoptera; Braconidae
Description: partial 16S ribosomal RNA
Source: RNAcentral
GUCUUUAAGAAAUUAAUUUAAAGUCUAAUCUGCCCACUGAAUUUAAUAUUUAAAUGGCUGCAGAAUUUUAACUGUACAAAGGUAGCAUAAUAACUUGUUUUUUAAUUAAAAACUAGAAUGAAAGAUUUAAUGAGAUAUAAACUGUUUCAAAAAAAUUUAUAUUAAAUUUUUUAUUUAAGUAAAAAAACUUAAAUAACCGUUAAAGACGACAAGACCCUAUAGAAUUUUAUUUAUUAUUAUUUUUCUUAAAAAUUUAAUAAAUUUUAUUGGGGUAAUAAAAAAAUUAAAAUAAUUUUUUCUAAAAAAUACAAUUUUAAUUGAACUAAAAAUCUUAAUAUUUAAAUUAAAAAAAUUAAUUACCUUAGGGAUAACAGCAUAAUUUUUUUUAAAAGAUCAUAUUAAUAAAAAAUUUUAU